GACGAACGCUGGCGGCGUGCUUAACACAUGCAAGUCGAACGGAAAGGCCCUGCUUUUGUGGGGUGCUCGAGUGGCGAACGGGUGAGUAACACGUGAGUAACCUGCCCUUGACUUUGGGAUAACUUCAGGAAACUGGGGCUAAUACCGGAUAUGAGCUCCUGCUGCAUGGUGGGGGUUGGAAAGUUUCGGCGGUUGGGGAUGGACUCGCGGCUUAUCAGCUUGUUGGUGGGGUAGUGGCUUACCAAGGCUUUGACGGGUAGCCGGCCUGAGAGGGUGACCGGCCACAGUGGGACUGAGAUACGGCCCAGACUCCUACGGGAGGCAGCAGUGGGGAAUAUUGCACAAUGGGCGGAAGCCUGAUGCAGCAACGCCGCGUGCGGGAUGACGGCCUUCGGGUUGUAAACCGCUUUCGCCUGUGACGAAGCGUGAGUGACGGUAAUGGGUAAAGAAGCACCGGCUAACUACGUG
This 468-nucleotide ribosomal RNA is filed under the name uncultured bacterium. Its description in RNAcentral is "partial 16S ribosomal RNA". It matches the Rfam family "Bacterial small subunit ribosomal RNA", at positions 28 to 507 of the family's 1533-position model. The record is from RNAcentral.